UGGGGAAUAUUGCACAAUGGGCGCAAGCCUGAUGCAGCCAUGCCGCGUGUAUGAAGAAGGCCUUCGGGUUGUAAAGUACUUUCAGCGGGGAGGAAGGGAGUAAAGUUAAUACCUUUACUCAUUGACGUUACCCGCAGAAGAAGCACCGGCUAACUCCGGGCCAGCAGCCGCGGUAAUACGGAGGGUGCAAGCAUUAAUCGGAAUUACUGGGCGUAAAGCGCACGCAGGCGGUUUGUUAAGUCAGAUGUGAAAUCCCCGGGCUCAACCUGGGAACUGCAUCUGAUACUGGCAAGCUUGAGUCUCGUAGAGGGGGGUAGAAUUCCAGGUGUAGCGGUGAAAUGCGUAGAGAUCUGGAGGAAUACCGGUGGCGAAGGCGGCCCCCUGGACGAAGACUGACGCUCAGGUGCGAAAGCGUGGGGAGCAAACAGG
This 429-nucleotide ribosomal RNA is filed under the name Chloroflexota bacterium. Its description in RNAcentral is "Chloroflexi bacterium partial 16S ribosomal RNA". It matches the Rfam family "Bacterial small subunit ribosomal RNA", at positions 355 to 776 of the family's 1533-position model. The record is from RNAcentral. Lineage: Bacteria; Bacillati; Chloroflexota.